GCUAACCCGUAAGGGAGGUAGACCCUUAACGGUCGAGACCAGUGAUUGGGGUG
This 53-nucleotide ribosomal RNA is filed under the name uncultured bacterium. RNAcentral's name for it is "partial 16S ribosomal RNA". The record is from RNAcentral.